This 528-nucleotide ribosomal RNA is filed under the name Bifidobacterium breve. Its description in RNAcentral is "bacterial SSU rRNA". It matches the Rfam family "Bacterial small subunit ribosomal RNA", at positions 159 to 697 of the family's 1533-position model. The record is from RNAcentral. Lineage: Bacteria; Bacillati; Actinomycetota; Actinomycetes; Bifidobacteriales; Bifidobacteriaceae.
GGUGGUAAUGCCGGAUGCUCCAUCACACCGCAUGGUGUGUUGGGAAAGCCUUUGCGGCAUGGGAUGGGGUCGCGUCCUAUCAGCUUGAUGGCGGGGUAACGGCCCACCAUGGCUUCGACGGGUAGCCGGCCUGAGAGGGCGACCGGCCACAUUGGGACUGAGAUACGGCCCAGACUCCUACGGGAGGCAGCAGUGGGGAAUAUUGCACAAUGGGCGCAAGCCUGAUGCAGCGACGCCGCGUGAGGGAUGGAGGCCUUCGGGUUGUAAACCUCUUUUGUUAGGGAGCAAGGCACUUUGUGUUGAGUGUACCUUUCGAAUAAGCACCGGCUAACUACGUGCCAGCAGCCGCGGUAAUACGUAGGGUGCAAGCGUUAUCCGGAAUUAUUGGGCGUAAAGGGCUCGUAGGCGGUUCGUCGCGUCCGGUGUGAAAGUCCAUCGCUUAACGGUGGAUCCGCGCCGGGUACGGGCGGGCUUGAGUGCGGUAGGGGAGACUGGAAUUCCCGGUGUAACGGUGGAAUGUGUAGAUAU